Molecule: non-coding RNA, 985 nt
Organism: Anas platyrhynchos (mallard)
Lineage: Eukaryota; Metazoa; Chordata; Aves; Anseriformes; Anatidae
Source: RefSeq, a predicted model, not a curated record
UGAGGAAGAGCCCUCGCACAGCCACCAUGCUCAGCACAAGACCAGUCCUGCUGCUCCUGCUGCUCCUCACCUUCUCCCAGCACUGCGCCACAGCACUCUACACACCUACUGAAUGCUGCUUCGAUUAUGCACAAAAACCUGUUCGGAUUGCAAAUAUAAAGAGUUUCUACACGACGUCCAACGACUGCGCCUUACCUGCAGUAGUGUUUGUGACUGCUGCUGGUUUCAAGGUCUGUAAUAACCCUCAGAAGCCCUGGGUGAAGAAAACGCUAAAUAAGCUUAGAAGAAAAAAAUGAAAUCCACGUUUUGCCAUCCACGGUCAGACUCGUGCCUCCAGUCCUCAGAUCUCCAAACGGAGCAGAGGGUGCUCGGUGCAGCUCCCCAGAGGGUCGCAUGGCAGCGGGUGCAGGCACUGCACACGGAGCCAGCCUGCGCCCCGAGGGAGGCCGGGCUUUGCGGCAGCACAGACAAGCUGGACACUGCGUACCUCACACUGCUACUGCCCUGCCAGGACGUGCCCAGUGGCAGAAAUAUUUAUAAUAAAGACUCAUUUCCACAAGCUGCUGUUUGAGUUUGUCCCAGUUUUUCAGCCCGAGGAGCAAAUCCAACAAGCCCAGAGCACGGUGUGACCAAAACGCCUGCUGGGUACAGGCACGCGUUUCUGUGGGGUAGGAACUAACUCUGCCUCUUCGUGUUGGGCGUCGUUGGGGAUGUGACAGUGGGGCCAGGUCUUGACUUGUGCGUUAGGCUACGUCUUUAUGGCAUGCUCUCAGCCCCACACGCGCUGCAGGUGCUCCAAUAUUUGAUGCUCAGGAGCAGGGGGUUGAGGGAGAAUAUACUGAUCUGCCAAAUCCAGCUCCCUCACUGCCUUGUCAGCCUCUAAAUGCACUGGUGUUUGGUCAAAACAGAUGAGGAAGACUAAAAAUAAUGUCCACAGUGCCAGUAUGAUGAGGACACAGCCCACCUUUCAGCUGCUUUUUGUAGA